GGAAACUGGGAAAAAGUUCUAUUCCAAGAAGGAAGUCACUCGGUAUAUGAACACAAAAGAUACUUGCCAUGAUGUAGCUCAAGUACUGAAUCAAGAUAAGAGCAGCUCCGAGAACAAUGUUAGUCAAAUGAAUCAUCAAGAUAAGAGCUUCUCUGAGAACAAUGUUAGUCAAAUGAAUUAUCAAGAUUCCGAGAACAAUGUUAGUCAGGUGAGUUUUGAAGGUGAAGUAACAACGACUAGCACGGAGAACAAUGUUAGUCAAAUGAGUCAUCAAGAUAAGAGCUUCUCUGAGAAUAAUGUUAGUCAAAUGAAUUAUCAAGAUAGGAGCUGCUCCGUGAACAAUGUUAGU
Molecule: long non-coding RNA, 349 nt
Filed under: Nicotiana benthamiana
Lineage: Eukaryota; Viridiplantae; Streptophyta; Magnoliopsida; Solanales; Solanaceae
Description: long non-coding RNA (NBEN_LNC018725)
Source: RNAcentral